This 282-nucleotide long non-coding RNA is filed under the name Pan troglodytes (chimpanzee). RNAcentral describes it as "long non-coding RNA NONPTRT001539". Lineage: Eukaryota; Metazoa; Chordata; Mammalia; Primates; Hominidae. The record is from RNAcentral.
CAAGUUCCUGUAUAUGCUGUCACUUUUCAAGAACCUGAGAAUGAUCCUCGGAAUUGCUGUUACUUGUGGGCUGUUCAGUCUACACAAGAUAGGGGUUAGAAUACUGUGAAGAAAGAUACACCCUGGACCUGACAGGUGGCAUGUUCCCUUUGAGGGGACAGACGAGUAAUACCAAAUUGUUGGGAUGCCAGAGUAUAGAGAAAUUUCGAUCUCAUGGUGACAGGGAGGAAGGUGUGAAUGAAGGUUAGUUAAAGUACUUGAAAUAUGUCAUGUGAAGGCUGG